CCUACGGGUGGCAGCAGUGGGGAAUAUUGGACAAUGGGCGAAAGCCUGAUCCAGCCAUGCCGCGUGUGUGAAGAAGGCCUUCGGGUUGUAAAGCACUUUCAGUGGGGAAGAAAGCCUUGGGGCUAAUACCCUCGAGGAAGGACAUCACCCACAGAAGAAGCACCGGCUAACUCCGUGCAGCAGCCGCGGUAAUACGGAGGGUGCGAGCGUUAAUCGGAAUUACUGGGCGUAAAGCGCGCGUAGGCGGUCUGAUAAGCCGGUUGUGAAAGCCCCGGGCUCAACCUGGGAACGGCAUCCGGAACUGUCAGGCUAGAGUGCAGGAGAGGAAGGUAGAAUUCCCGGUGUAGCGGUGAAAUGCGUAGAGAUCGGGAGGAAUACCAGUGGCGAAGGCGGCCUUCUGGACUGACACUGACGCUGAGGUGCGAAAGCGUGGGUAGCAAACAGGAUUAGAUACCCCGGUAGUC
This 464-nucleotide ribosomal RNA is filed under the name Vreelandella stevensii. Its description in RNAcentral is "partial 16S ribosomal RNA". It matches the Rfam family "Bacterial small subunit ribosomal RNA", at positions 338 to 795 of the family's 1533-position model. Lineage: Bacteria; Pseudomonadati; Pseudomonadota; Gammaproteobacteria; Oceanospirillales; Halomonadaceae. The record is from RNAcentral.